AUGUCACAUCAGAGAUCACCUGCUGAGGUCAAAGUCAGAUGUUUUUACACAGUGGAGGACGGAUCUGUGAAUUCUCCUUCAGCGCACAGUCACCCAUCCUCCAUCAGCAUACAAACUCUUCUUCCACCAACACUGACAGUGAGCACAGCAGUGAUCUCAGAGACAGACUCAGUCACGUUACACUGUCAGGCACCAGCAUCUGCCUCAGUGUAUCACUGUUAUUUUUAUACUGGGGAGCAACAAAGUAACAAAGACCUCUCGUGUCUGCAGACACUGACAGCAACUAAAAUGCUGUUAAUCUCACAUCAGAGAUCACCUGCUGAGGUCAAAGUCAGAUGUUUGUACACUGUGAAUUAUGGAUCUGUGACUUCUACUUCACCACACAGUAACCCAUCCUCCAUCACCAUACAAAGUCAAAAACCAGAGAUGAGUGUUCAACAUUUUGAUGGGGAAUUUGUUCUCAUCAUGUGCUCUCUGCCUGGAUCUGUGAAAGAUGAUACAAGAUGUAAUCUGUACUUUGGAGAAGCAAGUCGUCCAUUCUUAAAUGAAGCUGUCUCGAAGGAAAGCAGCAGAAAAACCAAACAGAGGUCCUGCCGCUUUUAUGUCGCAGUUGCAGAUUUUUUGAGCCAUUUACAUUAUGUUCAACAAAAGGAUGCCAGCUGUGAUUACACUUUGGAAAGUGGACCUUACUCUUUGUCACCUCGCAGUGAUCGAUACAACAUGACAGAUAUUAUGAAGAAAGAAUCACCAACAACCAAAGUGUACUCACCAUGCACCAUGACCACAGGUAAGACAGACUAUACAUCUAAGUAUCAUACAGAACAUUAUGAAUGUUUUCUUUAG
RNAcentral lists this long non-coding RNA (843 nucleotides) under Oreochromis niloticus (Nile tilapia). Its description in RNAcentral is "lncRNA (ENSONIG00000030709.1)". Lineage: Eukaryota; Metazoa; Chordata; Actinopteri; Cichliformes; Cichlidae. The record is from RNAcentral.